RNAcentral lists this ribosomal RNA (253 nucleotides) under uncultured microorganism. RNAcentral's name for it is "partial 16S ribosomal RNA". It matches the Rfam family "Bacterial small subunit ribosomal RNA", at positions 524 to 776 of the family's 1533-position model. The record is from RNAcentral.
UACGUAGGGUGCGAGCGUUAAUCGGAUUUACUGGGCGUAAAGCGUGCGCAGGCGGCCCGUUAAGACAGGUGUGAAAUCCCUGGGCUCAACCUAGGAAUUGCGCUUGUGACUGGCGGGCUCGAGUACGGUAGAGGGGGGUGGAAUUCCUGGUGUAGCAGUGAAAUGCGUAGAUAUAUGGAGGAACACCGAUGGCGAAGGCAGCCCCCUGGGCCUGUACUGACGCUCAUGCACGAAAGCGUGGGGAGCAAACAGG